GACGAACGCUGGCGGCGUGCUUAACACAUGCAAGUCGAACGGAAAGGCCCUUCGGGGUACCCGAGUGGCGAACGGGUGAGUAACACGUGGGUGAUCUGCCCUGCACUUUGGGAUAAGCCUGGGAAACUGGGUCUAAUACCGGAUAGGACCACGGCAUUCAUGUGCUGUGGUGGAAAGCUUUUGCGGUGUGGGAUGGGCCCGCGGCCUAUCAGAUUGUUGGUGGGGUAAUGGCCUACCAAGGCGACGACGGGUAGCCGGCCUGAGAGGGUGACCGGCCACACUGGGACUGAGAUACGGCCCAGACUCCUACGGGAGGCAGCAGUGGGGAAUAUUGCACAAUGGGCGCAAGCCUGAUGCAGCGACGCCGCGUGAGGGAUGACGGCCUUCGGGUUGUAAACCUCUUUCGCCAGGGACGAAGCGCAAGUGACGGUACCUGGAGAAGAAGGACCGGCCAACUACGUG
This 462-nucleotide ribosomal RNA is filed under the name uncultured bacterium. RNAcentral describes it as "partial 16S ribosomal RNA". It matches the Rfam family "Bacterial small subunit ribosomal RNA", at positions 28 to 507 of the family's 1533-position model. The record is from RNAcentral.